UUCUAUUUUCCACCACUGUGCCCCGCCCCAAAACCGUCGAAAUUUUAUACAUACAGACCAACGAAACGCGGUAUAGGGAUUCCUCUCAGCGUGAACCAACCAGGGUUCUAUGAUUGUACCCUACUCGUACUCGAGCCAAUCGAAACACCUUCCCCCACGCCCCACCAAUGAAGUAAAGAAAAAGUUCGGGUUCGGGCAAUAGAUGGCCGACGAUAGCAUAAAAGAAAAAGGAGGGAAAAGCUAAAAGACGCCAUAUAUGAGAAUUGCAAAGGUAGAUAAAAUGCUCUUUGGGCCAUAUGUUUGAUUUUUAGUUUAAAUUAAACGUACCAGUUUACGAUAUGUGAAUACUGACGAACAAAAACCAAAAUUAAUAAUAAAAAAACAAACAAACAUACAACAACAACAACAAAAUAACGAUGGCAACGUCUUUGCGAACCCUUUCCUUGUUCUUUGACACGGUGGCCAUUUAAAAAUUCAGACAUUCACAUCUGAAGAGAAACGAGACCAUCCUCUCUUUAGAUAUUAUUAAAAUAUUUUGUGUUCUUGAUUGUUUUAAAAGGUAACCGAUGAGUUAAAGACAUGAAAAUGAAACAGUUUUAGUGGGCGUUAUCUUGUGGUUACAGACAGUGAACUCCAGCUGUUUAUUUCUUUAUUGCUUCAAGCUGGGUCUACACUAGCAGUUUGAAACUUUGAUAUUGAGCUCCGUAUCCGAAUUUCACCUUCUGAACAAGUGGAGUUGUGUAGUAGUUGUGUUAUCAAAGGAAUUUUUGAAGGGAAUAUCUUAAACUAGUCGUGAAGUGAACAGCCAGUCAACAACUUGUUGUGCCACGCAGUCGAUUUUUGUGAUGGGCAACUGUUUUAUUCGUUUUCGUCUCCGAUUACAAUUUGAUAAUCCACUGCAGGAAAUGCUGAUCACUAUUAGAUUACCAUCAAGAUCGUAUUACGGUAUUAGUGAAUGUUUGAUGGCCAUUUCCAGAAAGUCCUAAAACCCACGUCUGGUGAGUUGUGCCAGUUUCUUUUUUAUUUAAAUUUUCCUUUAUUCAUUAUUUUCACUAACGUCAUUUAUGAGUGCGUCUAAUUUUCCUGUUACCCUGCCUUUGCACGGGUAUCAGUUCAAAUGUAACCCCUACCCCCUCGAAGUAAAAAAAACAAAAAAGAAGAAAUGAAUCGAUGAUAUGAUCUGGAUCCUUUUAGCUUUUCUUGACAUAUUUAGCGACAGAAUUUGGUGCAUUUUUGUGGCAAAAUCUUCUAAGACAAUUUACUAUUGCUAUUUCGUUUGUUUAGUUGUAGUCCCUUACUUCAUUUCCAUCCCUUUAUGGUUACUUUUUGAUCUCGUUGACAAUAGCACGCCCCUCUACUUGAGGUUAAAAGAAAAUCGUUGGCCUUGAUUUUGUUUUGUUGUGGAUAAUAUGCAGUUGAUUUUCUAAGCUCAAGUUCACAUAAAUUUUGUUUUGCCUGUG
This is a long non-coding RNA of Daphnia magna, 1460 nucleotides long. RefSeq lists it as uncharacterized. The record is from RefSeq and is a predicted model, not a curated record. NCBI's taxonomy places the organism in Eukaryota, Metazoa, Arthropoda, Branchiopoda, Diplostraca, Daphniidae. The transcript is spliced from 2 exons.